Molecule: long non-coding RNA, 264 nt
Filed under: Elaeis guineensis (African oil palm)
Lineage: Eukaryota; Viridiplantae; Streptophyta; Magnoliopsida; Arecales; Arecaceae
Description: long non-coding RNA (EGUI_LNC013865)
Source: RNAcentral
GAGCCGCGCGGGAUCCGUCACAGGAGGUGGAGCAGAGUCGUGGCCGUCAUAGCGGUCUGUCAGGGAAUGAUGGAACUGCGCGGAAUCCAUCGCAGGAAGUGGAGCAGGAUCGUGGUGGUUGCUGUGUUGCGCCAGAAAGUGCGGAUUCGUUGGCUGAAGUUCGACAGCGGUCGGAGCUGGUGACGGAGCCUGGCUCCCGUAGGAGCCCGGGCGGAGUCCUUCUUGAAGUCAUGGGCGGAGCCCGACUCCCGUGGGAGUCCGGGC